UCCGGUUUGUCACCGGCAGUCUCGCAUGAGUCCCCAACUUAAUGCUGGCAACAUGCGACGGGGGUUGCGCUCGUUGCGGGACUUAACCCAACAUCUCACGACACGAGCUGACGACAACCAUACACCACCUGUAAACCGACCGCAAGCGGGGCACCUGUCUCCAGGCGUUUCCGGUUCAUGUCAAGCCUUGGUAAGGUUCUUCGCGUUGCAUCGAAUUAAUCCGCAUGCUCCGCCGCUUGUGCGGGCCCCCGUCAAUUCCUUUGAGUUUUAGCCUUGCGGCCGUACUCCCCAGGCGGGGCACUUAAUGCGUUAGCUACGGCACGGAACCCGUUGAUAAGGCCCCACACCUAGUGCCCAACGUUUACGACGUGGACUAC
RNAcentral lists this unclassified non-coding RNA (377 nucleotides) under uncultured Actinomycetes bacterium. RNAcentral's name for it is "uncultured actinobacterium contains 16S-23S intergenic spacer region". Lineage: Bacteria; Bacillati; Actinomycetota; Actinomycetes. The record is from RNAcentral.